Molecule: long non-coding RNA, 426 nt
Organism: Peromyscus eremicus (cactus mouse)
Lineage: Eukaryota; Metazoa; Chordata; Mammalia; Rodentia; Cricetidae
Exons: 3
Source: RefSeq, a predicted model, not a curated record
CAGGGCUUGGAAGGCAGAGCAGCUGAACGGCUCCGAUGUUUUCCUUAGAAUUGUAUCUGAACAGAAAAUAAGAAAACACAGCUUAGAGUGACCAGUUCCAAGUUUCUGGAAUAAAAAAGUUUUCAGGGAAAUUCUGCUGCAGUUCCUUGGACCUUCAGAAAGUGUGUAGCCCUUGGGGCUUCAGCUAUGAUUGGGAAGUUUCUUUUUCGGUCCUAAAGAGCGAGUGAGGUCCUCCUCAAGGCUUGGAGAUCAAGGGUGCUGCCCAGGACCCCUGAGGUGAAGGAAAACUGUGUAAGGACCAGCUCUCUCCCGCGUACAUAUCUGCUUCCUGGUGAGUCACAGAAGGUGACUCUUCCACAUUCCUGAUCAAAUAGCUCCAAGAACACAUACCUCAAGUUCUAAUAUAAAAAGAAGAUUCCAGAAAAG